UGCCAGCCGCCGCGGUAAUACGAAGGGUGCUAGCGUUAUCCGGAAUCACUGGGCGUAAAGGGAGCGUAGGCGGUUUUGCAAGUCAGAAGUGAAAGGCUACGGCUCAACCGUAGUAAGCUUUUGAAACUGCAAGACUAGAGUGCAGGAGAGGCAAGUGGAAUUCCUAGUGUAGAGGUGAAAUUCGUAGAUAUUAGGAGGAACACCAGUGGCGAAGGUGACUAACUGGCAGAGUAUUGACGCUGAGGUGCGAAAGCGUGGGGAGCAAACAGGAUUAGAUA
This 278-nucleotide ribosomal RNA is filed under the name uncultured bacterium. RNAcentral's name for it is "partial 16S ribosomal RNA". It matches the Rfam family "Bacterial small subunit ribosomal RNA", at positions 506 to 784 of the family's 1533-position model. The record is from RNAcentral.